This 253-nucleotide ribosomal RNA is filed under the name uncultured bacterium. RNAcentral's name for it is "partial 16S ribosomal RNA". It matches the Rfam family "Bacterial small subunit ribosomal RNA", at positions 524 to 776 of the family's 1533-position model. The record is from RNAcentral.
UACGUAGGGUGCGAGCGUUAAUCGGAAUUACUGGGCGUAAAGCGUGCGCAGGCGGUUGUGCAAGACCGAUGUGAAAUCCCCGGGCUCAACCUGGGAACUGCAUUUGUGACUGCAUGGCUGGAGUGCGGCAGAGGGGGAUGGAAUUCCGCGUGUAGCAGUGAAAUGCGUAGAUAUGCGGAGGAACACCGAUGGCGAAGGCAGCACUCUGGGACGUGACUGACGCUGAGACGCGAAAGCGUGGGGAGCAAACAGG